This 391-nucleotide unclassified non-coding RNA is filed under the name soil metagenome. RNAcentral describes it as "partial contains 5.8S ribosomal RNA, internal transcribed spacer 2, and large subunit ribosomal RNA". The stretch from base 1 to 122 matches the Rfam family "5.8S ribosomal RNA", at positions 35 to 154 of the family's 154-position model. The record is from RNAcentral.
GAUGAAGAACGUAGCGAAAUGCGAUACUUGGUGUGAAUUGCAGAAUCCCGUGAACCAUCGAGUCUUUGAACGCAAGUUGCGCCCGAAGCCAUUAGGCCGAGGGCACGCCUGCCUGGGCGUCACACGUCGUUGCCCCCCCAUCUACUCCUUCGGGAUUGCGGGGGGCGGAUGAUGGCCUCUCGUGCGCCUCGUCGCGCGGUUGGCCUAAAUGCCAAGUCCUCGGCGACGCACGCCGCGACAAUCGGUGGUUGCGAAACCUCGGUUGCCUGUCGUGUGCGGUCGUCGCGCAUCGAGGGCUCGAAAAAAUUGCCGGGCUUCGGCUCGACUUUCAACGCGACCCCAGGUCAGGCGGGGUUACCCGCUGAAUUUAAGCAUAUCAAUAAGCGGAGGA